CACGUAGGGGGCAAGCGUUGUCCGGAUUUAUUGGGCGUAAAGAGCUCGUAGGCGGUUCGGUAAGUCGGGUGUGAAACCUCCAGGCUCAACCUGGAGAGGCCACCUGAUACUGCUGUGACUCGAGUCCGGUAGGGGAGCGUGGAAUUCCUGGUGUAGCGGUGAAAUGCGCAGAUAUCAGGAGGAACACCGGUGGCGAAGGCGGGUCUCUGGGCAGUAACUGACGCUGAGGAGCGAAAGCUAGGGGAGCGAACGGG
Molecule: ribosomal RNA, 254 nt
Filed under: uncultured bacterium
Lineage: Bacteria
Description: partial 16S ribosomal RNA
Rfam family: Bacterial small subunit ribosomal RNA
Source: RNAcentral